This 114-nucleotide ribosomal RNA is filed under the name Bacillota bacterium. Lineage: Bacteria; Bacillati; Bacillota. The record is from RNAcentral.
CCCGGUGAGGAUAGCGGUGGGGAAAGACCCGUUCCCAUACCGAACACGUGCGUGAAGCCCACCAGCGUCGAGAGUACUGCUCCUUUUGGAGUGGGAGGGUAGGUAUUGCCGGGU